AGGAGGAACAACCACAGUGGCCGUGGCCAGCUCUCGAGUCCCAGAUUCAGCUCCCACAGUAACUACGGAGCUCUCAGUCUGCAGGGGCCUGUAUGCUCCGGGGGCGG
Molecule: microRNA precursor, 107 nt
Filed under: Canis lupus familiaris (dog)
Lineage: Eukaryota; Metazoa; Chordata; Mammalia; Carnivora; Canidae
Also listed under: 1 other name
Description: mir-8834 microRNA precursor family
Rfam family: mir-8834 microRNA precursor family
Source: Rfam by way of RNAcentral